RNAcentral lists this ribosomal RNA (460 nucleotides) under uncultured bacterium. RNAcentral describes it as "partial 16S ribosomal RNA". It matches the Rfam family "Bacterial small subunit ribosomal RNA", at positions 338 to 795 of the family's 1533-position model. The record is from RNAcentral.
CCUACGGGAGGCAGCAGUGAGGAAUAUUGGUCAAUGGGCUUACGCCUGAACCAGCCAAGUCGCGUGAGGGAAGACUGCCCUAUGGGUUGUAAACCUCUUUUGUCAGGGAGCAACGCCGGCUACGUGUAGCCGGACUGAGAGUACCUGAAGAAAAAGCAUCGGCUACCUCCGUGCCAGCGGCCGCGGUAAUACGGAGGAUGCGAGCGUUAUCCGGUUUUAUUGGGUUUAAAGGGUGCGUAGGCGGAAUGCCAAGUCAGGGGUAAAGUCGCGGGGCUCAACCUCGCUCCGCCGUUGAAACUGGCGUUCUUGAGGGGGCGAGAAGUAUGCGGAAUGCGUGGUGUAGCGGUGAAAUGCAUAGAUAUCACGCAGAACUCCGAUUGCGAAGGCAGCAUACCGGCGCCCAACUGACGCUGAAGCACGAAAGCGUGGGUAUCGAACAGGAUUAGAUACCCGUGUAGUC